This 253-nucleotide ribosomal RNA is filed under the name uncultured bacterium. RNAcentral's name for it is "partial 16S ribosomal RNA". It matches the Rfam family "Bacterial small subunit ribosomal RNA", at positions 524 to 776 of the family's 1533-position model. The record is from RNAcentral.
GACGUAGGAGGCGAGCGUUGUCCGGAUUCAUUGGGCGUAAAGAGCACGCAGGCGGUUUGGCAAGUCGGAUGUGAAAACCCGGAGCUCAACUCCGGACCUGCAUCCGAAACUGCCCGACUAGAGGUAGGUAGGGGAGAUCGGAAUUCCUGGUGUAGCGGUGAAAUGCGCAGAUAUCAGGAGGAACACCGGUGGCGAAGGCGGGUCUCUGGGCAGUAACUGACGCUGAGGAGCGAAAGCGUGGGGAGCGAACAGG